RNAcentral lists this long non-coding RNA (955 nucleotides) under Equus caballus (horse). RNAcentral's name for it is "lncRNA (ENSECAG00000044278.1)". Lineage: Eukaryota; Metazoa; Chordata; Mammalia; Perissodactyla; Equidae. The record is from RNAcentral.
UCUUAUCACACAUGUGGCCUCCAAGUUAAGAGCUGGCCAAUUUUGAGGGUCACUGUGACCUUGAAUGCUAAGGAGCAGUAACCAUGGUGGCCUGUGGGUUGGAGGCUGUUCUCCAUUUUUCUGACACCACGUGAGCCUCCCUGAUCUGGUGUGAUUUAAGGAAGAUAAGGAACUGGGAUUCAGAGCAAUCUGACCAGCCUGGACAAGAAAGGAAACUUGGGGAAAUUCUGAUGAAAGUCCUUUGGGCUGACAGAAAGCUCGGGAUCUUGGUGAAGACCUGCGAGGGUUCCAUUUUUCAUCCAAAGGAGACCAUGCCCUGGGCAGCAUUGUUACACAGGAGGAGCCCCCAGAGUCUCCUGUACGCAGAGGAAGGGAGGACUGUGCUGGGCUCCAUGUGGUCCUGCUCUCCCCAUCCCCCCGAGGUGAGUGGUCUCUGUUUGGGUCUGUGUGGGAGAUCAGGGGCAGUACUGGGGUCCAGCCCUGGCCUCGAGUGUUCUCCCAGCUUGACCCUGGCCUAGCCCCUGCCCACUGAGCUUCUGUGAGGCUGCACCUCUGGAGCUGCUGCCUGGCUUUGCGCAGGCCGUGCUGUCACACAGGUGUGAGCUUGAACUUGGCUCACUAGGGCUAAUCCCCGGCUUGGGGAUGCAGAGCCUGGGAGAAAUGGCCACCAUUUUCUUCACACAAAGGCGUAGUUUAAUACCCAGUAGCCACAUGGUGAGAGUCCUGAGGGGGUGCCUGUCCAUACUUACAGCUGUCAGUGGGGGCGGCUUUUUCUGAGGCUCUGUAUUACUUUCCUAUGGCCACUGCAACACAUUCUCACCAACUUGAUGUCUCUAAAGGGUGGAAAUGUAUUUCCUCACAGUUCUGGAGGCUAGAAAUCCAACAUAAGUUUCCCAGGGAAUCUGUUUCUUUCCUCUUCCAGCUUCAGGAACUGCAUUUCUUGGGUCACAGCCCC